GAGUUAUCAGGAGCCUGCACCUGCUUCCAGCUGAGGAGAGGAAAUGCUUCUGGAGGUGACAGAGGAUGGUUGGUCGUGUCUCAGGAGUCCAGGAAAGAUCAGGCUCUGUUGGACUCCGCAUGGUAGAGGCUGAUACUGCGAGCUUGUGGUCAGGGUGGUUGGAAAAAUCAUUGCCAUCAGCUGGAGAGGACUCAGAAUUAAAGUCAUCACCCUGAUGAUUUGUAGAACUGAGCUGCUGGUGUAACUGUGAGCUGCCCCAGGCCACAGAGGACAUGUUCCCCAGCCCAUAGGAGCCCUCUUAGGAGUUGAAGCAUUUCUGCAACCCAAAUGUCUCCUCUGAUCUGGCUCCAGCAGGGACACAGAAGCGAGUGCAGGGAGCAGAAUGGGACCCGGUGUGAGGAGGGGGAGCUGCUGGCCUCCGUGGGCUGAAAACAUCUGAUUUAAAGGUAUGUCUUCCCAUGGGAUAAUAAUCUCUCCGAGCAAGAUCUUCCUGAGCGAAGCCGGGAGGAGCAGCCAGAUGCCAGCGUGGAUGUAUGAUGAGCUGUGGACUUCCCCCUACCAUCUGAGCUCUGUUACCAGCCCGCAGCGCUCCUCCUGCCGACACCGAGCGCCUGUUCUUGCCGUCGCCCCCACACCCGGCGUCGUUAUGGUGCUGCCGUAUGGAGGGCUCAGCCGGCGACGUCUCGCUCACCGGGGCAUGGCCAGGGACCUUCUCCAUCCCUCCUGCAGCAGGGACCCCCGGCCAUGCAGGACAGUUGCCCCUGUGCCCGUGGGUUUGCAGCUUCGUGGUGAGCGUUUGCGACCUGAACUUUGCAGCGUUGUGCUGAUUCACGACGGCUUGUCACCGAAACUGCCUGAAACUGACAGAAAAAGGGACGCUGACUCAUGUGUUUGCCUUCCCCAAGCGGGGAGAAAUGUGAAAGGUGAACAAAGUAUUUAACGGGUGAUAAUUACAUUCGGUGCUGAAAAAUUCAAUCCAUAUUAAUAAGCCGGUGUGUUAUUACUAAUAGAGGCCUUUUACAAUUUAAAAAAAAAAAUAAAUAGUAUUUAAGGUUUUUAACCUUGACAGUGACCUUUUAACAACAAGUGUAAGGAAACCCCUAAUUUUGUCCCACUCACACUUAUAAAGCUGUGUUAAGGAGAAUCUCCAGCUGCUGCCUUCCCUGUAUCCCCACGGGAUGCUGGGGGACGAUUCCCCGGCAGCAUUCCCUGAUGUGGCGGGAUGAAACCCGGCGUGGGGUGGGGUGGGAUGUGGCACGAGGAGCCAGAGAGCCAGCCUCUGGGUGGGAGAGAUCUCGGUGUUAUCAUUCAGGGCAGAGGGAGGGGGAGAGAGGAGUCGGAGAGGGUCCACCUUAAUGCCGGAUGAAAAAGCAAAUUGCUGGCAGGAGAGCAGAGAUGCUGCUCCGUUACUAUGGUUACCCCCAGAGACAACUGAGCAUCCCUGGGUAUCCUGCGGUACCCAAGCUGCUCCCGGCCAGCCGGAAUGGUGCUGGGAGAAUUCGGGUGGGCAAGGGAACAAAUAUGGAGGGGUUUGUAGGGUCUGAGCUUCUUGAAGCAGCCAAGAGAGAGGAUGGGUCCAGGCUGGGUGGAGGAGCAGCGUUUCCAGAGGGGCCAGGGCAAAGUUCCUGCCUCCACCCCUCUGAGAUGUGCAUCACCUUAGCAUGGCUGGGGAGGAUUUGUCAGGAGCCAGAUCAGUGUGGUGCCUUCCCUGCAGGAUGUCCUGGUUCUGGUCAGUGGGACACAGCAAGUCCUGCCCUGGGACAUGCAGCCAGGACGGGCAGCACAAGGUGCAAACCCAUGGCAUCUCCCUCCUGGUGGGAAUCCAGAGCUCCCAGCCCCUCUGCCUGCCCUCUGCCUGAUCAAGAUGUAUUGAGACCCUCAGAUUUUGGUGUGUUUGAGCCAAACCCAUCCAAGCCAAAAGACACCCUGCUUUUGGGGAGGCCAGAAAACUCUGCAGGGCACUGAGAGAUGCCCCCAUCCCCUGAAGCCAAAGAGAAAGAGGCAGGAAGGCAGUCAGCAAGGGUGUAAUGAUGAGUUUAAAGAUGGUAUUAGCAUUUAAGGACAUCUUGAGUCUUAAAAGUGGAGGUUGCCAGCUCAAAACCAGCCCCAACCUCAGCCCAUCGGUAGCAAUCCUACUGAAAACACCCUGCAAGGUGUAAGCAAGGUCCUUCCCCAGAAAAGCAGUCACUGCCUACCCAUCCCCACUGCUCCCAGAACCACCACCCUUCAGUUUAACCCCA
Calidris pugnax (ruff) is the source of this 2240-nucleotide long non-coding RNA. RefSeq lists it as uncharacterized. Lineage: Eukaryota; Metazoa; Chordata; Aves; Charadriiformes; Scolopacidae. The record is from RefSeq and is a predicted model, not a curated record. The transcript has 5 exons.